Long non-coding RNA from Pezoporus flaviventris, 580 nucleotides. RefSeq lists it as uncharacterized. NCBI's taxonomy places the organism in Eukaryota, Metazoa, Chordata, Aves, Psittaciformes, Psittacidae. The transcript is spliced from 3 exons. The record is from RefSeq and is a predicted model, not a curated record.
CUGACUUCUGAAGAGUAGGGGGUGUGGAUUUCUACUAGGAGUAACCACUGGGAAGGAAGUAAUGUUCAUUAAGUGUGCAGGCAGUGCAGGACUAAGCAUGCUCAGUGAAAAAGCUUUUCUCCUUUGCCUGUCAAGCUCUACGUUUGAACUCAUUCCAGAACGCCGGAUUUACUUUUCAUGAAGAAACAGUACCUGGCUGGAGUGCACUUUUCUUUCCCUCCUUAGUCACCGGAAGAUUGGAAACACUGUUCUUUUGAUGAUCACUCUCAGUAAUGCAGUGCGCCUGCAUGCAAGUGCGAAUCUUGCAGUGGAGAAGGAAGACAAACUUUGCUACCUGUGAAAUGAAGACUUCUUAGGUAGCAGUGGAAAUGAAAGCAAUUCUAUUUAUCAUAUUGUUCACAGACUCCACAAAUGAUUAACACGAUGACUUCAGUGGGAAUUGCUCUCAGAAAGAGAAAAAUCAUCUGGAUUCUUCUGAAGGUAAGAGUCAAGGACAGAAGUCUUCAUGAAAGACCUACCCAUGACACAAGAAGAGGAUCUCGCCUGCUGUUCUUCUUCAGAGACUCCAUCCCACAUUGAG